Molecule: long non-coding RNA, 697 nt
Filed under: Homo sapiens (human)
Lineage: Eukaryota; Metazoa; Chordata; Mammalia; Primates; Hominidae
Description: non-protein coding lnc-CCDC141-3:1
Source: RNAcentral
AGAAGAGAAGAAACCUGUUCCUGUUCCCAAGAAGAAGGAAGCUCCACCGGCAAAAUGCCUGAGGUUCCUAAGAAGCCAGAGGAGAAAGUUCCUGUGCUUAUUCCUAAAAAGGAGAAGCCUCCGCCAGCAAAAUUCCUGAAGUGCCCAAGAAACCUGUGCCAGAGGAGAAAGUACCAGUACCAGUUCCUAAAAAGGUGGAAGCUCCACCUGCCAAAUGCCAGAGGUACCCAAGAAGCCUGUGCCUGAGAAGAAGGUGCCAGUUCCUGCUCCUAAGAAAGUGGAGGCUCCACCUGCAAAAUGCCAGAGGUGCCCAAGAAGCUCAUCCCAGAAGAAAAGAAACCAACACCUGUUCCGAAAAAAGUGGAAGCACCACCACCCAAAUGCCAAAGAAACGUGAACCAGUUCCAGUUCCUGUAGCUCUACCUCAGGAAGAGGAAGUUCUAUUUGAAGAAGAAAUUGUUCCUGAAGAGGAAGUUCUACCUGAGGAAGAGGAAGUUCUACCUGAGGAAGAGGAAGUUCUACCUGAAGAAGAGGAAGUUCUACCUGAAGAAGAGGAAAUUCCACCUGAGGAAGAGGAAGUUCCUCCCGAAGAAGAAUAUGUACCUGAGGAAGAAGAAUUUGUACCUGAAGAAGAAGUCCUUCCAGAAGUUAAACCUAAGGUGCCAGUACCUGCACCAUGCCUGAAGUACCAAAGAAA